UACGAAGGGGGCUAGCGUUGCUCGGAUUGACUGGGCGUAAAGGGCGCGUAGGCGGUUCGUACAGUCAGACGUGAAAUUCCUGGGCUCAACCUGGGGGCUGCGUUUGAUACGUGCGGGCUUGAGUGCGGAAGAGGGUCGUGGAAUUCCCAGUGUAGAGGUGAAAUUCGUAGAUAUUGGGAAGAACACCGGUGGCGAAGGCGGCGCUCUGGACCGAGACUGACGCUGAGGCGCGAAAGCGUGGGGAGCAAACAGG
This 253-nucleotide ribosomal RNA is filed under the name uncultured bacterium. Its description in RNAcentral is "partial 16S ribosomal RNA". It matches the Rfam family "Bacterial small subunit ribosomal RNA", at positions 524 to 776 of the family's 1533-position model. The record is from RNAcentral.